UGUCUAGUAUUCUAUAAAAGUGAUUUUAAAUUGCAAAUUUAAAGGAGAAUCUAAUUCUUAGACUU
This 65-nucleotide transfer RNA is filed under the name Sogatella vibix. Its description in RNAcentral is "tRNA-Cys". Lineage: Eukaryota; Metazoa; Arthropoda; Insecta; Hemiptera; Delphacidae. The record is from RNAcentral.